RNAcentral lists this ribosomal RNA (409 nucleotides) under uncultured bacterium. Its description in RNAcentral is "bacterial SSU rRNA". It matches the Rfam family "Bacterial small subunit ribosomal RNA", at positions 42 to 454 of the family's 1533-position model. The record is from RNAcentral.
UCAGGCCUAACACAUGCAAGUCGAGCGAUGAAGCACCUUCGGGUGUGAAUUAGCGGCGAACGGGUGAGGAACACGUGAGAAAUCUGCCUUCAACUCUGGGAUAACUCCGGGAAACCGGGGCUAAUACCGGAUAUGAGCCUCUUUCGCAUGAAGGGGGCUGGAAAGUUUUUCGGUUGAAGAUGAUCUCGCGGCCUAUCAGCUUGUUGGUGAGGUAACGGCUCACCAAGGCUACGACGGGUAUCCGGCCUGAGAGGGCGACCGGACACACUGGGACUGAGACACGGCCCAGACUCCUACGGGAGGCAGCAGUGGGGAAUAUUGGGCAAUGGGCGAAAGCCUGACCCAGCGACGCCGCGUGAGGGAUGAAGGCCUUCGGGUUGUAAACCUCUUUCAGUGGGAAGAAGCGAAA